Molecule: ribosomal RNA, 378 nt
Filed under: uncultured archaeon
Lineage: Archaea
Description: bacterial SSU rRNA
Rfam family: Archaeal small subunit ribosomal RNA
Source: RNAcentral
CACCGGCGGCCCGAGUGGUAGCCGUUAUUAUUGGGUUUAAAGGGUCCGUAGCCGGCCUAUUAAGUCUCUUGGGAAAUCUGGCGACUCAAUCGUCAGGCGUUCAAGAGAUACUGGUAGGCUUGGGACCGGGAGAGGUGGGAGGUACUCCAGGGGUAGGGGUGAAAUCUCGUAAUCCUUGGGGGACCACCGAUGGCGAAGGCAUCCCACCAGAACGGGUCCGACGGUGAGGGACGAAAGCUGGGGGCACGAACCGGAUUAGAUACCCGGGUAGUCCCAGCUGUAAACGAUGCUCGCUAGGUGUCAGGUGCGGUGCGACCGCAUCUGGUGCCGUAGUGAAAACUUGAAGCGAGUCACCUGGGAAGUACGGUCGCAAGGCUG